CCGAGGGUUCGAAUCCCUCUCUUUC
RNAcentral lists this transfer RNA (25 nucleotides) under Syntrichia sarconeurum. Its description in RNAcentral is "partial tRNA-Ser". The record is from RNAcentral. RNAcentral also lists the same sequence under 2 other names. Lineage: Eukaryota; Viridiplantae; Streptophyta; Bryopsida; Pottiales; Pottiaceae.